This 111-nucleotide microRNA precursor is filed under the name Echinops telfairi (small Madagascar hedgehog). RNAcentral's name for it is "miRNA (ENSETEG00000023899.1)". The record is from RNAcentral. Lineage: Eukaryota; Metazoa; Chordata; Mammalia; Afrosoricida; Tenrecidae.
GACAGCGUGGCGUUGUAGGGCUGCACCACCGUGUCCGAGACCUUGGGCGAGGGCACCACGCUGAAGGUGGUCAUGAUGCGGUCGGGGUACUCCUCUCGAAGCUUGCCGAUG